GAUGAACGCUGGCGGCGUGCCUAAUACAUGCAAGUCGAGCGAACGGACGAGAAGCUUGCUUCUCUGAUGUUAGCGGCGGACGGGUGAGUAACACGUGGAUAACCUACCUAUAAGACUGGGAUAACUUCGGGAAACCGUAGCUAAUACCGGAUAAUAUUUUGAACCGCAUGGUUCAAAAGUGAAAGACGGUCUUGCUGUCACUUAUAGAUGGAUCCGCGCUGCAUUAGCUAGUUGGUAAGGUAACGGCUUACCAAGGCAACGAUGCAUAGCCGACCUGAGAGGGUGAUCGGCCACACUGGAACUGAGACACGGUCCAGACUCCUACGGGAGGCAGCAGUAGGGAAUCUUCCGCAAUGGGCGAAAGCCUGACGGAGCAACGCCGCGUGAGUGAUGAAGGUCUUCGGAUCGUAAAACUCUGUUAUUAGGGAAGAACAUAUGUGUAAGUAACUGUGCACAUCUUGACGGUACCUAAUCAGAAAGCCACGGCUAACUACGUGCCAGCAGCCGCGGUAAUACGUAGGUGGCAAGCGUUAUCCGGAAUUAUUGGGCGUAAAGCGCGCGUAGGCGGUUUUUUAAGUCUGAUGUGAAAGCCCACGGCUCAACCGUGGAGGGUCAUUGGAAACUGGAAAACUUGAGUGCAGAAGAGGAAAGUGGAAUUCCAUGUGUAGCGGUGAAAUGCGCAGAGAUAUGGAGGAACACCAGUGGCGAAGGCGACUUUCUGGUCUGUAACUGACGCUGAUGCGCGAAAGCGUGGGGAUCAAACAGGAUUAGAUACCCUGGUAGUCCACGCCGUAAACGAUGAGUGCUAAGUGUUAGGGGGUUUCCGCCCCUUAGUGCUGCAGCUAACGCAUUAAGCACUCCGCCUGGGGAGUACGACCGCAAGGUUGAAACUCAAAGGAAUUGACGGGGACCCGCACAAGCGGUGGAGCAUGUGGUUUAAUUCGAAGCAACGCGAAGAACCUUACCAAAUCUUGACAUCCUUUGACAACUCUAGAGAUAGAGCCUUCCCCUUCGGGGGACAAAGUGACAGGUGGUGCAUGGUUGUCGUCAGCUCGUGUCGUGAGAUGUUGGGUUAAGUCCCGCAACGAGCGCAACCCUUAAGCUUAGUUGCCAUCAUUAAGUUGGGCACUCUAAGUUGACUGCCGGUGACAAACCGGAGGAAGGUGGGGAUGACGUCAAAUCAUCAUGCCCCUUAUGAUUUGGGCUACACACGUGCUACAAUGGACAAUACAAAGGGCAGCGAAACCGCGAGGUCAAGCAAAUCCCAUAAAGUUGUUCUCAGUUCGGAUUGUAGUCUGCAACUCGACUACAUGAAGCUGGAAUCGCUAGUAAUCGUAGAUCAGCAUGCUACGGUGAAUACGUUCCCGGGUCU
RNAcentral lists this ribosomal RNA (1372 nucleotides) under uncultured bacterium. RNAcentral describes it as "bacterial SSU rRNA". It matches the Rfam family "Bacterial small subunit ribosomal RNA", at positions 28 to 1381 of the family's 1533-position model. The record is from RNAcentral.